Meriones unguiculatus (Mongolian gerbil) is the source of this 1844-nucleotide long non-coding RNA. RefSeq lists it as uncharacterized. The transcript has 2 exons. The record is from RefSeq and is a predicted model, not a curated record. NCBI's taxonomy places the organism in Eukaryota, Metazoa, Chordata, Mammalia, Rodentia, Muridae.
AGAUAUCUGUUGAAUCCAUUUGAUUUGAUCAUUAGUUAGUUUGAUUGUUUCUCUAUCUAGUUUCUGUUUUCAUGAUUUGUCCUUUGGUUAGUGCGGUGUUUUGGAGUCUCCCACUAUUACUGUGGACAUAUAAGUGUAUUAUUUAAGCUUUAGUAAUGCUUCUUCUACAAAUGUAGGUGCCCUUGUGUUUGAAGCAAAAUAUUCAGAAUUGAAACAUCAUCUUGGUGGAUUUUUGAUAUGAUAUGUAUCAUUUUACUAUGAUAUGCAUCCUUUCCCAUAUCUUUUGAGUAAAUUCAGUUAAAAGUUUAUUUUUAUUAGAUAUCAGGAUGGCUUCUUUCAAUUUGCUUCUUGGGUCCAUUUCCUUGAAAAAGCUAUUUCCAGCCCUUCACUCUGAGGUAAUGUCCUCUUUUUUUGUUAAGAUGUGUUUCUUGUUUGCAGCAGUCCUACUUAUGCAUCUAUUCUGUUAGUCUGUGGUUUUUUUUUUUUUUUUGAGGAAUUGAAUCCAUUAAUGUUGAGUGAUAUUAAUAACUAAUGUUUGCUAGUGCUGGUAAUUUUGAUUUUUAUGGUUGUAGUGAGUUUCUGUGUUUCUCUCCUUUUGGUUUUGCAGCAAUGGUGUUUUUUUAUAUCUUAUUUGUUUUCUUGGGUGUGGUUAACUUUAUUUGCUUGGAGUUUUCCUUCUAGUGUACAUUAAAGCUGAGAAGCAUAGACAUUGGUGUUUUGGGGUCCACAGCACAGCCUCUUACUUGCUGUGGAGUCACUAGAGUCCUAGCACUCAGAAACCAUGUGGACUGGGCACCACCAUUUUGAAUCCUCUUCAAAUAUCCAUCUUUUAAAUGGAAAUAUUUUUUUUCUGGUGCUGGAGAAAGACACAGGACCUUUUUCCAACUAAGGACACGUUACACACUAUACUAUCUUCUCUCUCAUAAAUGAUAUUUCUACUUGUGUUUAGUAACUCUAGCAUUACUUCAAAGGGGAAUAAUUUUAAUCUUGCUAUACAACUGGGGAGACUCCUAAACAAACUAAGCACCUUUAAAAAGAAACCCAUAUCAGAGAGAGGGAAAAUGAAUUUCUCUUAAAGGUCAACCAGUAAUCUGUGUGGGCCACUCAUAUAAAAUUUUGUCUCUCUUCAGCUGCAUCCAUUUUUGAGGAAAAUUAAAGUGACAAAUGCUGCUGGAGAUGAAAUAAGCUUUGAUGAGAACAAGAAUGUCAUGGAAACAUAUGAUAUACAAAACUUUAUUGCAUAUAGUAAGCAAAAUUCAUUAAUACUUAAAGUGGGAGAAUUUGUCUUCAAGAGUCCACAAGACCAAGGCUUUUUCAUCAAUGAAGUUCUGAUUCAAUGGCCAAACAAUUUUAAUCAGACUCCUCAAUCUGUAUGUACACAGAGCUGUGGUCCAGGAUUCUGGAAAGUUCUACAAGAAGAAAGACCCAUUUGCUGUUUUUCUUGUGUAUUUUGUCCGGAGUGGCACAUUUCCAACCAGACAGGUAGAAAAAUAACACCUAUCCUCAACUGCUUGGGAAUGUAGAAGGGGAAAGUUACAAACUGACUAUGGUGUCAUAAUGCAAUGCUGUUCUCCAUGUCUCUUUCCCUCAUCCCUGAAUCCAUUAGUAAUCACUGCUGAUGCCACAAAAUGUGUGAAGAUUUGAGUGGCAAUUCUCUUGCUAUUGUGUCAUAUGAAAACUACUAAAAAAAAAAAAAAAACCCUGCCUUUUGGUGCAUGACAUGGCUAUCUCCAUGGUAUAGGUUCCCCAUUAAUUGCGAGAUCUCCACUGGUCCAGAAUUGAUUUUUAUUUCUGCAAUAAACAAACCUAAUGAUUUUUGCCUGAAGAUAACUCCAGGAAAAGUA